AAAGUUAUAGUUAGGGCCCCUUUGGUAUUUCUGGAAUGAACCACUGGAGGAAAAUAAGGGAGGGUCAUGUCUUUUUAUUCAUUGUUAAGGGGAGGGUCAUCCAACUUUUUUUAGUCUAGGGGGGAGGGUCUCACCCAACUGUUUGUAUUCUUAGAAACAG
Long non-coding RNA from Etheostoma cragini (Arkansas darter), 160 nucleotides. RefSeq lists it as uncharacterized. The record is from RefSeq and is a predicted model, not a curated record. The transcript has 3 exons. NCBI's taxonomy places the organism in Eukaryota, Metazoa, Chordata, Actinopteri, Perciformes, Percidae.